CCUACGGGAGGCAGCAGUGGGGAAUAUUGGGCAAUGGGCGCAAGCCUGACCCAGCAACGCCGCGUGAAGGAAGAAGGCUUUCGGGUUGUAAACUUCUUUUGUCAGGGAAGAGUAGAAGACGGUACCUGACGAAUAAGCCACGGCUAACUACGUGCCAGCAGCCGCGGUAAUACGUAGGUGGCAAGCGUUGUCCGGAUUUACUGGGUGUAAAGGGCGUGUAGCCGGGUUGACAAGUCAGAUGUGAAAUCCUGCGGCUUAACCGCAGAACUGCAUUUGAAACUGUUGAUCUAGAUUGCAGGAGAGGUAAGUGGAAUUCCUAGUGUAGCGGUGAAAUGCGUAGAUAUUAGGAGGAACACCAGUGGCGAAGGCGGCUUACUGGACUGUAAAUGACGCUGAGGCUCGAAAGCGUGGGGAGCAAACAGGAUUAGAUACCCCUGUAGUC
RNAcentral lists this ribosomal RNA (442 nucleotides) under uncultured bacterium. RNAcentral describes it as "partial 16S ribosomal RNA". It matches the Rfam family "Bacterial small subunit ribosomal RNA", at positions 338 to 795 of the family's 1533-position model. The record is from RNAcentral.